Molecule: ribosomal RNA, 246 nt
Filed under: uncultured bacterium
Lineage: Bacteria
Description: partial 16S ribosomal RNA
Rfam family: Bacterial small subunit ribosomal RNA
Source: RNAcentral
GAUCCUGGCUCAGGAUGAACGCUAGCGGCAGGCUUAACACAUGCAAGUCGAGGGGCAGCGCGGGAUAGCAAUAUCCUGGCGGCGACCGGCGGAAGGGUGCGUAACGCGUGAGCGACAUGCCCGUUGCCCGGGGACAACCGGUGGAAACGCCGACUAAUCCCCGAUGGGAUAUUGUGCCGCAUGGCACGAUAUUGAAAGUUACGGCGGCGACGGAUUGGCUCGCGUCCGAUUAGCUUGUUGGCGGGG